CAAAGGUUGAUGAAAUGCCGUGUUCCCGGGGCCGCUCUCUUUCUCUCUCUGAGGGGGAUUGUAUGUUUCGGGGGCGCGGCAUGUACCAACAACCACGAUCAUCCACCGUGUGCACUCAUUGAACCAUGGGGGGGUUGAUUUUUUGACCUCUCAUGGUUCCAAACCUUUCUCCAGCCUUACCGUUUGUCUGAACAUUAUCAUUUUUAAAUGAAAAUA
Molecule: unclassified non-coding RNA, 216 nt
Filed under: uncultured fungus
Lineage: Eukaryota; Fungi
Description: sequence contains ITS1, 5.8S rRNA gene
Source: RNAcentral